RNAcentral lists this ribosomal RNA (413 nucleotides) under uncultured bacterium. RNAcentral's name for it is "bacterial SSU rRNA". It matches the Rfam family "Bacterial small subunit ribosomal RNA", at positions 335 to 762 of the family's 1533-position model. The record is from RNAcentral.
ACUCCUACGGGAGGCAGCAGUGGGGAAUCUUGGACAAUGGGACGCAAGCCUGAUCCAGCCAUGCCGCGUGAGUGAUGAAGGCCCUAGGGUCGUAAAGCUCUUUCGCCAGAGAUGAUAAUGACAGUAUCUGGUAAAGAAACCCCGGCUAACUCCGUGCCAGCAGCCGCGGUAAUACGGAGGGGGUUAGCGUUGUUCGGAAUUACUGGGGCGUAAAGCGCGCGUAGGCGGAUUAGUCAGUCAGAGGUGAAAUCCCAGGGGCUCAACCCUGGAACUGCCUUUGAUACUGCUAGUCUUGAGUUCGAGAGAGGUGAGUGGAAUUCCGAGUGUAGAGGUGAAAUUCGUAGAUAUUCGGAGGAACACCAGUGGCGAAGGCGGCUCACUGGCUCGAUACUGACGCUGAGGUGCGAAAGUGU